UAAUACAGAGGGUGCGAGCGUUAAUCGGAAUUACUGGGCGUAAAGCGCGCGUAGGCGGUUUGUUAAGUCGGAUGUGAAAUCCCCGGGCUCAACCUGGGAAUUGCAUUCGAUACUGGCAAGCUAGAGUAUGGGAGAGGAAGGUAGAAUUCCAGGUGUAGCGGUGAAAUGCGUAGAGAUCUGGAGGAAUACCGAUGGCGAAGGCAGCCUUCUGGCCUAAUACUGACGCUGAGGUGCGAAAGCAUGGGGAGCAAACAGGAUUAGAUACCCUGGUAGUCCAUGCCGUAAACGAUGUCAACUAGCCGUUGGGGGAUUUGAUCCUUUAGUGGCGCAGCUAACGCGAUAAGUUGACCGCCUGGGGAGUACGGUCGCAAGACUAAAACUUAAAGGAAUUGACGG
Molecule: ribosomal RNA, 396 nt
Filed under: uncultured bacterium
Lineage: Bacteria
Description: bacterial SSU rRNA
Rfam family: Bacterial small subunit ribosomal RNA
Source: RNAcentral